RNAcentral lists this ribosomal RNA (216 nucleotides) under Camarothorax sp. 1227_01. RNAcentral's name for it is "partial 28S ribosomal RNA". It matches the Rfam family "Eukaryotic large subunit ribosomal RNA", at positions 967 to 1163 of the family's 3401-position model. Lineage: Eukaryota; Metazoa; Arthropoda; Insecta; Hymenoptera; Epichrysomallidae. The record is from RNAcentral. RNAcentral also lists the same sequence under 1 other name.
UUUCCCUCAGGAUAGCUGGCACUCGCUUGAGCGAGUCUCAUCUGGUAAAGCGAAUGAUUAGAGGCCUUGGGGCCGAAACGACCUCAACCUAUUCUCAAACUUUAAAUGGGUGAGAUCUCUGGCUUGCUUGAACGUUAUGAAGCCACGAGAGAUCAUUGAUCAUGGAUCAGAGUGCCAAGUGGGCCAAUUUUGGUAAGCAGAACUGGCGCUGUGGGA